Molecule: ribosomal RNA, 708 nt
Filed under: Rhodobacteraceae bacterium GUDS971
Lineage: Bacteria; Pseudomonadati; Pseudomonadota; Alphaproteobacteria; Rhodobacterales; Paracoccaceae
Description: bacterial SSU rRNA
Rfam family: Bacterial small subunit ribosomal RNA
Source: RNAcentral
GUCGAGCGCGCCUUUCGGGGUGAGCGGCGGACGGGUUAGUAACGCGUGGGAAUAUGCCCUUUGGUACGGAAUAGCCUCUGGAAACGGAGAGUAAUACCGUAUGAGCCCUUCGGGGGAAAGAUUUAUCGCCAAAGGAUUAGCCCGCGUUAGAUUAGGUAGUUGGUGGGGUAAUGGCCUACCAAGCCUACGAUCUAUAGCUGGUUUUAGAGGAUGAUCAGCAACACUGGGACUGAGACACGGCCCAGACUCCUACGGGAGGCAGCAGUGGGGAAUCUUGGACAAUGGGGGCAACCCUGAUCCAGCCAUGCCGCGUGAGUGAUGAAGGCCUUAGGGUCGUAAAGCUCUUUCGCCUGUGAAGAUAAUGACGGUAGCAGGUAAAGAAACCCCGGCUAACUCCGUGCCAGCAGCCGCGGUAAUACGGAGGGGGUUAGCGUUGUUCGGAAUUACUGGGCGUAAAGCGCACGUAGGCGGAUCGGAAAGUUGGGGGUGAAAUCCCGGGGCUCAACCCCGGAACUGCCUCCAAAACUAUCGGUCUAGAGUUCGAGAGAGGUGAGUGGAAUUCCGAGUGUAGAGGUGAAAUUCGUAGAUAUUCGGAGGAACACCAGUGGCGAAGGCGGCUCACUGGCUCGAUACUGACGCUGAGGUGCGAAAGUGUGGGGAGCAAACAGGAUUAGAUACCCUGGUAGUCCACACCGUAAACGAUGAAUG